Molecule: ribosomal RNA, 253 nt
Filed under: uncultured prokaryote
Description: partial 16S ribosomal RNA
Rfam family: Bacterial small subunit ribosomal RNA
Source: RNAcentral
ACGUAGGGCGCAAGCGUUAUCCGGAAUUAUUGGGCGUAAAGAGCUCGUAGGCGGUUUGUUGCGUCUGCCGUGAAAGUCCGGGGCUCAACUCCGGAUCUGCGGUGGGUACGGGCAGACUAGAGUGAUGUAGGGGGGACUGGAAUUCCUGGUGUAGCGGUGAAAUGCGCAGAUAUCGGGAAGAACACCCGUGGCGAAGGCGGCUCUCUGGAACGCAACUGACGCUGAGACGCGAAAGCAUGGGGAGCAAACAGGA